UGGAAUACUGAGUGUUUAUCGAACUGUGGGGAUGGUUUUAGUUGGUUUAAGUCUCACGGCGAAUUAUUCUUGAUUUAAACACAGUCCACACAACAACAAGGCGACAGCAGGAAAGCCACGUUUGGUUGUCAACUGAGAAAUAACUUUCAAACAGGCGAUGAGGAGUAGAGAAGUUGGUACUCAAAUUAUAUAAGUAUCGCUCCGUGACCCAAGUGUUCAAAACUCAAUAUCGAAUGUUAUUGUUCUGUUUGCCUUAAAGUUCCCUUUUGUGAAAUCCGCAUUGCCUAAUGGCAAAUAAUAAAUUUAGUAUGCGCACAAAAGCAUUCAUUUGAUGGUUCAUAAACUUUACGAAAAUAAUUUAAAAUAUCCGUGUCGCAAAAUGACGGUUGACAAACCGAUUUUUCAAAUACAAUAGUUUUGAAAUUCAUUUCGGAACGGAGGUGUCAAUAAACACAACAAUUUUUAACAAAAUUAUUCAGCAGCAGCACAAUGAAGACAAAAUUUGAAUUAAAUUAUAUGCUUCAUUCUUGACUAAACCUUAUCAGUCUAAUCAAGGAAUAGCGCGAAAAUUCUAUGCAGAUUUGUACCUAUCAGAAUACUUACAAACGCUACUGAGUUGUACAUUGCUUCUCCCUGAUACUGCUCUGUGUUCUCUACAACAACAGUACUGGUAUCUUCGCUAAAGCACAAUAGGUAGGCCAUCCAAGGUUCCAAUGUAGGCUGUCUACAGUAAGCAAAUUAAGAGUCGGCGAGUCAGCAACAGAAAUUCAAAAUCAAUGUUGUUGGCUGAAUGAACGCCAUGUAUGUAUGUAUAUGUGUAUGUAUGCACAUCUGAAGGAGUACGGAGCCUACAAUGCCAAGUUGGUAGCAAUUGCAGAUUUGUAUGCCGAUACCCUGAAAGUGGCCACCAGAACAACAGCAGCACAAUUCACAUGCACACACAUGCCAUAUUGUUGGGGAGAAGCCUAUCCGCAGAGCCAAGUGCGUUUUCGCAUCCAACAUCCGUCCCUUUUGGGCUGAUGCAACAACAACUACGAGUACUUUACAUCCACGUUCAUUGUACCAUGCAGCAGCUACCAGACCGACGGUCCGUCUUCAUUCAUGAGAAGCGUGAGUAAACGUGUACGGCAUAUUCGCAUUGUCAUGAUUGGAAAAUGCCCGGUAGCAGUUGUGUUGUCGAUAUUUCUGCGCGUCGACAAUAAAUUUGGCAAUGGUCAAACAUUGCCCCAAGGCAGCCAAGCAGACAAGCGAACGAAGACUCAGCAGCAAGAACAAGUCAAAGGAUAUAGCGCAGAUGAUGUAAGAAGACGUUAAAAACAAACUCAGCAAAGGCAACAGUGCUUAGGUUAGGUAUCGGUGGGUCGACGGCACUAUCGUGCUUAUCGCAUCAAGUAAGAAGAGGCGGAGGCAGCUCGCCAUGGAGCCACCGAAUCAAAUCACAAUUUCUGCAUUUACCGCUCUGCCACACCCUCCCACUAUGUUGAGUUUAUACACAUACUCUUUAGGCUACCACCGACUCGGCAGCAACAUAUGCCCGAAGGGAAAUGUUAUGGCACAAACGAAGCGGAUUGGAGAGUAAAGUAAACGACACCGAAAACUAAGUCAAAUGCAAAAUAAAUCAAAAUAUUGCUGUGGUUUUGUGCAGAUAUUAAAAAAAUGUGUAUAUGCGCCGUUGUGUAGAGCUGCAUCAGCCGCCUUUGAGGCUUUGCAACUCCAGCCGCCAUAGCACAUGACUUUCAGUUCGCUUCGGAUGCCUAAUAUGUUGGUAAUAAAACAGUAGGCGAUCGACAGGUCUGCACGAAGUGCAACGAGAACUGCGCUGUCGCAGGUUUCUUUCAAGAUAUCAAGACAGUGAUACUCUGAUCAUAUGCCAGCCUUAUGUGCGAGCAGUGCUAUAUCUUUUCAGAUGGACAACUUCGGGAAAACGUUUACUCAUGAACUUCCACAAGAGCGCAGAUGGCUUAUCGGGGAAACGGUAGCACUCUCUUCGGAGGCUUGGUCACAUUGGGACGUCAUAGAAUGUGCUAUCCGGCGAAAGAGUAAGCGGAUUUUGCAGAAGUUCCCGUGCAGAAAAUUCCGGAUCACACAAUAUCUAGAAUUGUUGAGGCUUAUCCUGACAAUUUUAGCCCAUUUGAAGACGGCGAAUGUUAAAAUUUGCGACUUCCCCAUUUGGGGUUUCGACGGAAGCUCGGGGCACUCUGUAUACUAAAAAUGGCUGAUGAGACAUUCAGGGUCGAAUUGGCGUUAUUGGUAGGCAUUCCAACGCAAGGCUCGGAAUUAUUGGUGUGAGCCAUGGCCAUAAAUAAUAAAACGACUUGAAAUCAUUUUCGUUCUCGGGAUAUUUCAUAAACAUCGAAAGCUUCGAAGAAUACGCAUUAGGAACCGCGAAAAUUUUCAGAGAAUAUCCACGAUUAGCUCAGUGCAAAUAAUUUUGAUACAAGGAACUGAUAUCAUAAAAAGUGUACCACUUCCCAUUGGCAUGAUGUCGGAAGAAGCAUUGGAAACUAGAAAUAAAGAUUUGAGAUACUUCCGCCUUAAUAAUACUCGCAAGAAUUCGCGCAAAACUACAAUGGAGGAUCUAAUGAAUUAAUUAUUAAUCUCUUGGGAUCCACUCAUAACCAAUAUGUGCAAAAGUGGAUCACAUUGGUCCAGCAAAGACUUUUGAUAUGAUAGGGAAUCUCAAAAAUCUGCUUUUGAACUUUCAUGAUUCGGGCAAAGAAAUUAAAGCAAUAUUAUUGUUAUCUUAUUCAA
Ceratitis capitata (Mediterranean fruit fly) is the source of this 2751-nucleotide RNA transcript. RefSeq lists it as uncharacterized. Lineage: Eukaryota; Metazoa; Arthropoda; Insecta; Diptera; Tephritidae. The record is from RefSeq and is a predicted model, not a curated record. The transcript has 6 exons.